Bombyx mori (domestic silkworm) is the source of this 2049-nucleotide long non-coding RNA. RefSeq lists it as uncharacterized. The transcript is spliced from 5 exons. NCBI's taxonomy places the organism in Eukaryota, Metazoa, Arthropoda, Insecta, Lepidoptera, Bombycidae. The record is from RefSeq and is a predicted model, not a curated record.
UGAUAUUAUAAAGAGAGGGCCGAACCUCCUACGAGGUCCCCGCGCAAAAGGGGCGCGCGGGGUAUGUGAGACUCAUCGAUCUGCAUGGUGUUGUGAGCAGACCGCGGGCCCAGGGAUUUUAGGACCCACCCACUAAACGACUCCCCUGCACUCUUACACCCGACGUCCGAUCCCUCCGAGGUCAGAACCCGGAUGAGGUAGGGGGGCUACCGCGGUCAACACUACAACCAGACGGCGCGGCUCACCCCAAGGACGCCCAGCCGACGGAGCCUUCGAGGAGGGUGGUGGUACCUACCCGUGCGGACUCACAAGAGGUCCUGCCAUCAGUAAAAAAGGAGUUUCGAGGACUCUUUUGACGGCUCGUUUGAAGAAGCUAUUACAUUUUAAUCAUUUGGUUAGUCGCAUAAAUGACCUCUGUGUGCCUUUCCAGAGCGCUCCGACUUUAGGUGGAUUUUUCCGUAUUGAAAUUUGUCAACAGGCAAAAUUGUAUGGUUUCAACUAAAAAUAAUUACAACAACACGUACACACUUACAUAUAAGGUAAAAAUAAUGUUUAUAGUGCCGUAAUAAAUAGCGGACGUAGAGGAAAAUCGUGUUAGAUUUCAAAUAAGCGAACAUUGGAAGAGUGCAUAUAAUAAAUACAACUGCUUAAAAUAACUAGAGGUCCCGCAGUAGUCGUAAUUCGACUAUAAUUAAUUGGAAUUUAUUUCGCAGAAUCUACCACCGGAUCGGAAUCGCGACCCACUGAGAAGAACCGGCGAGUAACUCAGUGGGAGUUUGUUGCCAAUUACCAGGGUCCACCACACCGAUUGUGUCGAACGUGAUGGGGUGUGCGUUGCUACUAAUCUGGCUGGGCGCAAGCAUGCUGUGGCCAGCGCGCUGCCACGAAACCCAGCCUCAUCCCAGCGACUCUGAUUUUCUGCUGUAUCUAAUCGAUUUGGUCCUGGCGCCCGCGCUAAGGAUGCCCAAAGAUGUCGGCGCGGUCCUCGGAUCCGGAAACUGCCCAUCCGACUACGUCCCAAUGGAAAUUACCGACCAUAACAAGACUUCGUUUCUCUGCGUGGAAAACGAUGACUUAAUAUGAUUGUAAUAGUAUUUCUAACCAGAAUAUAUCGAGGGAUGAAAGGAUUGAAUCGACUUUUGCAACUGUACAGCAGAGCGCGUUUAGGGGUUGAAAUUUGGAAAACAUAUUGUAAUGAAAACAAAACAUCUCCAGCUAUUUAUUUGAACUAGAGGUCCCGCAGUAGUCGAAAUUCGACUAUAAUUAAUUGGAAUUGUAACUUUGUACACUAUUAUGAUUGUACUUUAUACUUCUAUAAUCACAAAUUUCGCCAAGACUACACUAUAAAAAUAGUAACAAAGACACACAAUAUUGAAUCUGUUCUCAAUUUGACAACAAACGUCAAGAACAAAAGUUUGACAAUAAAUAUUAUGCAUGCGUGUGUGCCUCAAAUACAUGGUAUGUAGUGUGUGUAAUGUUUUCUUUAUUGAUUUAAUGUAUCUUUUAUGCAUUAUUUAAAAAAAAUAUUAGCAUAGUACACUGCUUCUCUAUAUUCUCUAUAAGUGUGGAAAAUUUCAUACUCCUCCGUCCGCGCAAUUUUCGUAAAAAGGGAUACAAAGUUUUUGCUUCACGUAUUAAUAUAUAGAUGAAAUAAACGUCAUUAAAGCUCAAUUAAAAACAUCGAACUGUUGAUGCUAAUCUUUAAAACAAAUAAAUAAAAUUGAUGUGUCUGUUUGUAAUAAUAAAAUAACCACUUUUUACUAAAUGCGUAAGUAUAUAUACCAGAGUACAUAUAGAAUUUUUUUUUGUCUGUCUGUCUGUUUGUUCCGCCUAAUCUCUUGAACGGCUGGACCGAUUUUGACGAGACUUUCACUGAUAGUUAGCUGAUGAUAUAAGGAGUAACUUGGACUUGGACCUUUUUUAGACUAACUUCGCCCCGCAUCGUCACCCGCGACUAUAGUCGCAGGUAACAUCGCGGGACUCAGCUAUUACCAAAUAAAACGCACCUUUAAUUACAAAGAUAAAUGUUGAGUACUCGUUCACACAUCU